CCGGGCGACCGGCGCACGGGUGAGUAACACGUAUGCAACCUGCCCUCCGCAGGGGGAUAACCCGGAGAAAUCCGGACUAAUACCGCGUGGUACAUCUGUGGGGCAUCCCACGGGUGUUAAAAGGAAGCGAUUCCGGCGGAGGAUGGGCAUGCGGCGCAUUAGCUAGUUGGCGGGGUAACGGCCCACCAAGGCGACGAUGCGUAGGGGUUCUGAGAGGAAGGUCCCCCACACUGGUACUGAGACACGGACCAGACUCCUACGGAAGGCAGCAG
This 272-nucleotide ribosomal RNA is filed under the name uncultured bacterium. Its description in RNAcentral is "partial 16S ribosomal RNA". It matches the Rfam family "Bacterial small subunit ribosomal RNA", at positions 87 to 354 of the family's 1533-position model. The record is from RNAcentral.